UUUCCUCAUAUUCAUUCAGGAGUG
Molecule: microRNA, 24 nt
Filed under: Equus caballus (horse)
Lineage: Eukaryota; Metazoa; Chordata; Mammalia; Perissodactyla; Equidae
Also listed under: 1 other name
Description: Eca-Mir-670_3p (mature (guide))
Source: RNAcentral